CCUACGGGUGGCAGCAGUGAGGAAUAUUGGUCAAUGGGCGCGAGCCUGAACCAGCCAAGUAGCGUGAAGGCUGACUGCCCUACUGGUUGUAGACUUCUUUUAUAAAGGACUAAAGUGAGGCACGUGUGCCUUUUUGUAUGUACUUUAUGAAUAAGGAUCGGCUAACUCCGUGCCAGCAGCCGCGGUAAUACGGAGGCGCCGAGCGUUAUCCGGAUUUAUUGGGUUUAACGGCAGCGUAGAUGGGUUGGUAAGUCAUGUGUGAAAGUUUGUGGCUCAACCGUAAAAUUGCAAUUGAUACUGGCAGCCUUGAGUACAGUUGAGGUAGGCGGAAUUCGUGGUGUAGCGGUGAAAUGCUUAGAUAUCACGAAGAACUCCGAUUGCGAAGGCAGCUUACUAAACUGCCACUGACAUUGAUGCUCGAAAGUGUGGGUAUCAAACAGGAUUAGAUACCCUGGUAGUC
Molecule: ribosomal RNA, 460 nt
Filed under: uncultured bacterium
Lineage: Bacteria
Description: partial 16S ribosomal RNA
Rfam family: Bacterial small subunit ribosomal RNA
Source: RNAcentral